RNAcentral lists this transfer RNA (76 nucleotides) under Trichonephila inaurata madagascariensis. Its description in RNAcentral is "tRNA-Cys". It matches the Rfam family "tRNA". From Rfam's summary of the family: Transfer RNA (tRNA) molecules are approximately 80 nucleotides in length. Lineage: Eukaryota; Metazoa; Arthropoda; Arachnida; Araneae; Nephilidae. The record is from RNAcentral.
GGGAGUAUAGCUGACUGGUAGAGCAUUCGACUGCAGAUCGAGAGGUCUCCGGUUCCCAAAACCCGGGUGCCUUUCU